This 291-nucleotide ribosomal RNA is filed under the name uncultured bacterium. RNAcentral's name for it is "partial 16S ribosomal RNA". It matches the Rfam family "Bacterial small subunit ribosomal RNA", at positions 505 to 796 of the family's 1533-position model. The record is from RNAcentral.
GUGCCAGCAGCCGCGGUAAUACGUAGGGGGCGAGCGUUAUCCGGAAUUAUUGGGCGUAAAGGGUGCGUAGGUGGUCUGAUAAGCGUGGGGUGAAAGGCAAUAGCUUAACUAUUGUAAGCCUUGCGAACUGUCAGACUUGAGUGCAGGAGAGGAAAGUGGAAUUCCUAGUGUAGCGGUGAAAUGCGUAGAUAUUAGGAGGAACACCAGUGGCGAAGGCGACUUUCUGGACUGUAACUGACACUGAGGCACGAAAGCGUGGGGAGCAAACAGGAUUAGAAACCCCCGUAGUCC